Molecule: unclassified non-coding RNA, 346 nt
Filed under: Chytridiomycota sp.
Lineage: Eukaryota; Fungi; Chytridiomycota
Description: partial contains small subunit ribosomal RNA, internal transcribed spacer 1, and 5.8S ribosomal RNA
Rfam family: Eukaryotic small subunit ribosomal RNA (bases 1-47)
Source: RNAcentral
AAAGUCGUAACAAGGUAACCGUAGGUGAACCUGCGGUUGGAUCAUUAAAAAGAUCUAAGGUCUGUCCGGGAGGAGCGAUCGUGGAACAUUCCAUGGUCCCUCCACUGGCGGGCUUUUCUCACCUAAAAAGUGAGUCAACAUCUUGUGAACUGUUCUGUCUCUGGCGGUGGGAUGUGCUGAGAAGCCAUCUGUCAGCGACUGAGGGUCUACCCCAGUCUGCCGUGGACAAGCCGCCAAUGGUGUAUGUUUCAUACAAACUUCUUGACCUUUAUAAUCUUUGUCUAACCUUACCUUUGUAUUGACAAUAUACAAAAAACAACUUUUGGCAACGGAUCUCUUGGCUCCC